UUAUUCUUCAACUAGAAAAAGGGUUUCAGCCACUCAUGGCUGAAACUAACAUAAAAGAAAAGAAAGAAAGCAAAAAGAUGAAGAAGGGCUGGCGCAAGGGGGCGCACAGCUGCUGGAAUGGUUCUGCCGAGCAUAAGUUGAUCCAAAGAUGCCUGAUCUGUUGGUUUGCAUGCCCUUUUAUAGCUGAAGAGGCUGCCCUAGGUUUCCUUGUUGAGAUGGGACUCCUUUUCCCAAUUGGAGUUGAAUUCUUGGAAGGUAAUUGUAUUUUGAUGAGAUUUGCCUUCCUAAAUAUGUGGGAUUGAGUGCUGAGGUGUCUUUAGGAUUUGUUGAGCUGUCCACACGUGUUUGGGAGGGAAAACACUUCUUGAGCAUUUGAAUUUUGAUUUUCCCGCAAUUUACUGUCUGCUGGUUGCUGGUGCUGUUUGCCCGGGUUGUUUGGGCAAACAGCUCGGGCAAACAGUCUAUUUUCCCUG
This 473-nucleotide long non-coding RNA is filed under the name Manihot esculenta (cassava). RNAcentral describes it as "long non-coding RNA (MESC_LNC006316)". Lineage: Eukaryota; Viridiplantae; Streptophyta; Magnoliopsida; Malpighiales; Euphorbiaceae. The record is from RNAcentral.